Molecule: ribosomal RNA, 848 nt
Filed under: Aspergillus niger
Lineage: Eukaryota; Fungi; Ascomycota; Eurotiomycetes; Eurotiales; Aspergillaceae
Description: SSU rRNA
Rfam family: Eukaryotic small subunit ribosomal RNA
Source: RNAcentral
UAAUUCUAGAGCUAAUACAUGCUGAAAACCUCGACUUCGGAAGGGGUGUAUUUAUUAGAUAAAAAACCAAUGCCCUUCGGGGCUCCUUGGUGAAUCAUAAUAACUUAACGAAUCGCAUGGCCUUGCGCCGGCGAUGGUUCAUUCAAAUUUCUGCCCUAUCAACUUUCGAUGGUAGGAUAGUGGCCUACCAUGGUGGCAACGGGUAACGGGGAAUUAGGGUUCGAUUCCGGAGAGGGAGCCUGAGAAACGGCUACCACAUCCAAGGAAGGCAGCAGGCGCGCAAAUUACCCAAUCCCGACACGGGGAGGUAGUGACAAUAAAUACUGAUACGGGGCUCUUUUGGGUCUCGUAAUUGGAAUGAGUACAAUCUAAAUCCCUUAACGAGGAACAAUUGGAGGGCAAGUCUGGUGCCAGCAGCCGCGGUAAUUCCAGCUCCAAUAGCGUAUAUUAAAGUUGUUGCAGUUAAAAAGCUCGUAGUUGAACCUUGGGUCUGGCUGGCCGGUCCGCCUCACCGCGAGUACUGGUCCGGCUGGACCUUUCCUUCUGGGGAAUCUCAUGGCCUUCACUGGCUGUGGGGGGAACCAGGACUUUUACUGUGAAAAAAUUAGAGUGUUCAAAGCAGGCCUUUGCUCGAAUACAUUAGCAUGGAAUAAUAGAAUAGGACGUGCGGUUCUAUUUUGUUGGUUUCUAGGACCGCCGUAAUGAUUAAUAGGGAUAGUCGGGGGCGUCAGUAUUCAGCUGUCAGAGGUGAAAUUCUUGGAUUUGCUGAAGACUAACUACUGCGAAAGCAUUCGCCAAGGAUGUUUUCAUUAAUCAGGGAACGAAAGUUAGGGGAUCGAAGACGAUCA